CUAAACGUGCAAGUCGAACGGUAGCACAGAGAGCUUGCUCUCGGGUGACGAGUGGCGGACGGGUGAGUAAUGUCUGGGAAACUGCCUGAUGGAGGGGGAUAACUACUGGAAACGGUAGCUAAUACCGCAUAACGUCGCAAGACCAAAGAGGGGGACCUUCGGGCCUCUUGCCAUCAGAUGUGCCCAGAUGGGAUUAGCUAGUAGGUGGGGUAACGGCUCACCUAGGCGACGAUCCCUAGCUGGUCUGAGAGGAUGACCAGCCACACUGGAACUGAGACACGGUCCAGACUCCUACGGGAGGCAGCAGUGGGGAAUAUUGCACAAUGGGCGCAAGCCUGAUGCAGCCAUGCCGCGUGUAUGAAGAAGGCCUUCGGGUUGUAAAGUACUUUCAGCGGGGAGGAAGGUGUUGUGGUUAAUAACCACAGCAAUUGACGUUACCCGCAGAAGAAGCACCGGCUAACUCCGUGCCAGCAGCCGCGGUAAUACGGAGGGUGCAAGCGUUAAUCGGAAUUACUGGGCGUAAAGCGCACGCAGGCGGUCUGUCAAGUCGGAUGUGAAAUCCCCGGGCUCAACCUGGGAACUGCAUUCGAAACUGGCAGGCUGGAGUCUUGUAGAGGGGGGUAGAAUUCCAGGUGUAGCGGUGAAAUGCGUAGAGAUCUGGAGGAAUACCGGUGGCGAAGGCGGCCCCCUGGACAAAGACUGACGCUCAGGUGCGAAAGCGUGGGGAGCAAACAGGAUUAGAUACCUUGUGUAGUCC
RNAcentral lists this ribosomal RNA (757 nucleotides) under Enterobacter cloacae. Its description in RNAcentral is "bacterial SSU rRNA". It matches the Rfam family "Bacterial small subunit ribosomal RNA", at positions 49 to 796 of the family's 1533-position model. Lineage: Bacteria; Pseudomonadati; Pseudomonadota; Gammaproteobacteria; Enterobacterales; Enterobacteriaceae. The record is from RNAcentral.